RNAcentral lists this ribosomal RNA (397 nucleotides) under uncultured bacterium. Its description in RNAcentral is "partial 16S ribosomal RNA". It matches the Rfam family "Bacterial small subunit ribosomal RNA", at positions 523 to 918 of the family's 1533-position model. The record is from RNAcentral.
AUACGUAGGGGGCGAGCGUUGUCCGGAAUGAUUGGGCGUAAAGGGCGCGUAGGCGGCCCGGUAAGUCUGGAGUGAAAGUCCUGUUUUUAAGAUGGGAAUUGCUUUGGAUACUGUCGGGCUUGAGUGCAGGAGAGGUAAGUGGAAUUCCCAGUGUAGCGGUGAAAUGCGUAGAGAUUGGGAGGAACACCAGUGGCGAAGGCGACUUUCUGGACUAUAAGUGACGUUUCGGCGCUAAAUUGUGGAGAGCAAACAGGAUGAGAUACACUAGUAGUCCACACUAUGCACGAUGAUUUCUAGGUUUAGGGGGUAUGGUCCCCUUCUGUGCUGCAGUCCAAACAAUAACCAUUCCUGCUGGGGAGUCCGGCCGCAACGUUCAGGCUCACACAAAGUGACGGGG